UUAGGCAUGCAAGUCGAGCGAGAAGUUUACUUCGGUAAAUGGACAGCAGCGAAAGGGACAGUAAUGUGUAGGUACCUACCCCCCGAUCUGGGAUAGCUGCGGGAAACUGCAGGUAAUACCGGAUAAUGUCUUCGGACCAAAGGUGUGAUUCCGUCAGGGGAGGGGCCUGCAUCCUAUUAGCUUGUUGGUGAGGUAAUGGCUCACCAAGGCAACGAUGGGUAGCGGGUGUGAGAGCAUGACCCGCGUCAUUGGGACUGAGACACUGCCAGACAUCUACGGAUGGCUGCAGUCGAGAAUCUUCGGCAAUGGGCGAAAGCCUGACCGAGCGACGCCGCGUGCGGGAUGAAGGCCCUCGGGUUGUAAACCGCUGUCGUUAGGGAGGAAAUGCAAAAGGGUUAUCCCUUCUGUUUGACCGAUCCAAGGAGGAAGUACGGGCUAAGUUCGUGCCAGCAGCCGCGGUAAGACGAACCGUACGAACGUUAUUCGGAAUUACUGGGCUUAAAGGGUGCGUAGGCUGCACGGAAAGUUGGGUGUGAAAGCCCUCAGCUCAACUGAGGAAUUGCAUCCAAAACUGUCGUGCUUGAGGGAGACAGAGGUGAGCGGAACUCAAGGUGGAGCGGUGAAAUGCGUUGAUAUCUUGAGGAACACCGGUGGCGAAAGCGGCUCACUGGGUCUCUUCUGACGCUGAGGCACGAAAGCUAAGGUAGCAAACGGGAUUAGAUACCCCGGUAGUCUUAGCUGUAAACGAUGAGCACUUGAUUGGAGGGUCCUCCAUAGCCUUCCAGUCGUAGCGAAAGUGUUAAGUGCUCCGCCUGGGGAGUAUGGUCGCAAGGCUGAAACUCAAAGAAAUUGACGGGGGCUCACACAAGCGGUGGAGGAUGUGGCUUAAUUCGAGGCU
This 898-nucleotide ribosomal RNA is filed under the name uncultured Planctomycetaceae bacterium. RNAcentral describes it as "bacterial SSU rRNA". It matches the Rfam family "Bacterial small subunit ribosomal RNA", at positions 49 to 958 of the family's 1533-position model. The record is from RNAcentral. Lineage: Bacteria; Pseudomonadati; Planctomycetota; Planctomycetia; Planctomycetales; Planctomycetaceae.